GACGGAGGGGGCUAGCGUUGUUCGGAAUCACUGGGCGUAAAGGGCGCGUAGGCGGCUAUAUAAGUCAGGGGUGAAAUCCCGGGGCUCAACCCCGGAACUGCCUUUGAUACUGUAUAGCUAGAGUUCUUGAGAGGAUAGCGGAAUACAUAGUGUAGCGGUGAAAUGCGUAGAUAUUAUGUGGAACACCAGUUGCGAAGGCGGCUGUCUGGCAAGAAACUGACGCUGAGGCGCGAAAGCGUGGGGAGCAAACAGG
RNAcentral lists this ribosomal RNA (253 nucleotides) under uncultured bacterium. Its description in RNAcentral is "partial 16S ribosomal RNA". It matches the Rfam family "Bacterial small subunit ribosomal RNA", at positions 524 to 776 of the family's 1533-position model. The record is from RNAcentral.